CCUACGGGCGGCAGCAGUGGGGAAUAUUGCACAAUGGGGGGAACCCUGAUGCAGCGACGCCGCGUGGGUGAGGAAGUACUUCGGUAUGUAAAGCCCUAUCAGCAGGGAAGAAAAUGACGGUACUUGACUAAGACGCCCCGGCUACUUACGUGCCAGCAGCCGCGGUAAUACGUAGGGGCCAAGCGUUCUCCGGAUUUACUGGUGGAAAGGGGAGCGUAGACGGCGGGCCAAGUCUGAUGUGAAAGGCCGGGGCUCAACCCCGGGACUGCAUUGGAAACUGGCAUGCUGGAGUGCCGGAGGGGCAAGCGGAAUUCCUAGUGUAGCGGUGAAAUGCGUAGAUAUUAGGAGGAACAUCGGUGGCGAAGGCGGCUUGCUGGACGGUAACUGACGUUGAGGCUCGAAAGCGGGGGGAGCAAACAGGAUUAGAUACCCCAGUAGUC
RNAcentral lists this ribosomal RNA (440 nucleotides) under uncultured bacterium. RNAcentral describes it as "partial 16S ribosomal RNA". It matches the Rfam family "Bacterial small subunit ribosomal RNA", at positions 338 to 795 of the family's 1533-position model. The record is from RNAcentral.